Molecule: ribosomal RNA, 370 nt
Filed under: uncultured Agaricomycetes
Lineage: Eukaryota; Fungi; Basidiomycota; Agaricomycetes
Description: eukaryotic LSU rRNA
Rfam family: 5.8S ribosomal RNA (bases 1-122)
Source: RNAcentral
UCGAUGAAGAACGCAGCGAAAUGCGAUACGUAAUGUGAAUUGCAGAAUUCAGUGAAUCAUCGAAUCUUUGAACGCACAUUGCACUCCUUGGUAUUCCGAGGAGUAUGCCUGUUUCAGUAUCAUGAGCACUCUCACAACUAAUCUUUGUUGGUUAAGAUUGUGGAAUUGGGAAGCGCCAGUUGUCAUUGAUUGGCCCUCCUAAAAUGUAGCUCUUGACUGUGGACUACUACAGUAGUUUGGCCUAAUAGUUUUGGCAGUUAUAUGUCAAAUCUUUGGCUACAUUUAUUUUUGGUCCAUGCAGUCUUGAUAUACAGAAAACUCUAAAUACAACUUUGAUCUGAAAUCAGGUAGGGCUACCCGCUGAACUUAA